AGGACGAACGCUGGCGGCGUGCUUAACACAUGCAAGUCGAGCGGAAAGGCCCUUCGGGGUACUCGAGCGGCGAACGGGUGAGUAACACGUGAGCAACCUGCCCUUAGCUUUGGGAUAACCCUCGGAAACGGGGGCUAAUACCGAAUAUUCACUGCCGGGCGCAUGUUUGGCGGUGUAAAGUUUUUCGGCUAGGGAUGGGCUCGCGGCCUAUCAGCUUGUUGGUGGGGUAAUGGCCUACCAAGGCGACGACGGGUAG
This 256-nucleotide ribosomal RNA is filed under the name uncultured bacterium. Its description in RNAcentral is "partial small subunit ribosomal RNA". It matches the Rfam family "Bacterial small subunit ribosomal RNA", at positions 26 to 286 of the family's 1533-position model. The record is from RNAcentral.